UUUUUUCCCAUAGGAUCAAUGUUAAACUUUUCUCAAGUUUCCAUGGCAAUGGCAGCCAUUUUGAAAAUUCCAAGUACAGUUGGUACCCCAGCGCACCACUGCCAACAUUUACAUAAACUUUCAAGAGGUUGCCUCUUAUAACGAAAGAUUUAGAAUUUUGAUUUUUUUUUACAUUUUUGCAGUUUCCAUGGUAACGGCGGCCAUUUUUUACCAUUCCAAUGUCUCUUGCACAACUUCACAUGGGGGUUCAUAUUAUGGUAUAGUUCCAUCAACUUGGCUCUGACCAAUCCCGAGAAAUAGCAUGGACAAAAUGUGUGGAAGAAUAAAAAUAAUAAAAAGAAAAAAAAGAAACGUACAAUAACAAGAUGUCACCCCAACUUCGUUGAGGGUGCCAUAAAAAGAAAAAAAAGAAACGAACAAUAACAAGAUGUCACCCCAACUCCGUUGAGGGUGCCAUAACUAGAUUUGCCAUUGCAAGCAAUAGCGGAUGGCACCCUUCCCACAUUGCCACUAAACUGCAGUCAGUUGGAAAUUCCAAAGUCAAAGACUGCAUCUACAGAUGUUUAUUAACAUUGUUGUAAAGUUUCCUCAAUUUCGAAGCAUUUUGAAGUUUUUGAAAUUUAUGUAGUUUCCAUGGCAACUGAGGCCAUUUUGGAAAUUUUGAAGUCAAAAGUCUGAUCUUUACUUGCCAUUGGUCAUUUAUAAUGAGUUUCAUUAAGUUUGGAGCAUUUUGAGAUUUUUGGACAUUUUUGCUGUUUCCAUGGUAACAGUG
RNAcentral lists this long non-coding RNA (772 nucleotides) under Mytilus galloprovincialis (Mediterranean mussel). Lineage: Eukaryota; Metazoa; Mollusca; Bivalvia; Mytilida; Mytilidae. The record is from RNAcentral.